This 237-nucleotide unclassified non-coding RNA is filed under the name Hevea brasiliensis (rubber tree). The record is from RNAcentral. Lineage: Eukaryota; Viridiplantae; Streptophyta; Magnoliopsida; Malpighiales; Euphorbiaceae.
AACAAGCGAGAACAGUUUCAUCUCUUCACACAAAGCAAGAGGAUCAGUGAGUUCAGAAAGCUCAAACAAACACAGAAAGCCAAGAAUCAAAGAAAAUAGCUUAGUAGCUAGGAGGAGAUCUGUAUCAGUGCAUAUGUAUAAAAACAUACAACUGUCAAUAAAAACAUAAGAUAAAUAAUUUAGCAAUAUUAAUUUUAUUAAUAUUAUUUUAGCUAAAUUUCAACGUUUCAGAUUUUA